This 479-nucleotide ribosomal RNA is filed under the name Clostridioides difficile. RNAcentral's name for it is "bacterial LSU rRNA". It matches the Rfam family "Bacterial large subunit ribosomal RNA", at positions 1339 to 1827 of the family's 2925-position model. The record is from RNAcentral. Lineage: Bacteria; Bacillati; Bacillota; Clostridia; Peptostreptococcales; Peptostreptococcaceae.
GUAAACCCAAGGUUUCCAGGGGAAGGUUCGUCCGCCCUGGGUUAGUCGGGACCUAAGCUGAGGCCGAAAGGCGUAGGUGAUGGACAACAGGUUGAUAUUCCUGUACUACCGAUAACCGUUUGAGAGAAGGGAUGACACAGUAGGAUAAGCUAAGCACACUGUUGGUUAUGUGUGCCCAAGCAUUGAGGCAGUCAAAGUAGGCAAAUCCGCUUUGAUAAUGCUGGGAUGUGAUGGGGAGCGAAAUUUAGUAGCGAAGUAGCUGAUUUCACACUGUCAAGAAAAGUCUCUAUCGAGGUUAAAGGUACCCGUACCGCAAACCGACACAGGUGGGUGAGGAGAGUAUCCUAAGGCCAGCGAGAGAACUGUUGUUAAGGAACUCGGCAAAAUGACCCCGUAACUUAGGGAUAAGGGGUGCCACCAUCAGGUGGCCGCAGAGAAUAGGCCCAAGCGACUGUUUACCAAAAACAUAGGUUUCUGCU